GCGCACGGGUGCGUAACGCGUAUGCAACCUACCUUUAACUGGGACAUAGCCCCGAGAAAUCGGGAUUAAUAUCCCAUAAUAUCCAGAAAACGCAUGUUUUCUGGAUUAAAGUUCCGGCGGUUAAAGAUGGGCAUGCGUGGCAUUAGUUAGUUGGUGAGGUAACGGCUCACCAAGGCAAUGAUGCCUAGGGGUCCUGAGAGGGUUUUCCCCCACACUGGUACUGAGACACGGACCAGACUCCUACGGGAGGCAGCAGUAAGGAAUAUUGGGCAAUAGGCGCAAGCCUGACCCAGCCAUGCCGCGUGCAGGAUGACGGCCCUAUGGGUUGUAAACUGCUUUUGUAUGGGAAAAAACUCCCGCACGUGUGCGGGACUGAUUGUACCAUACGAAUAAGCAUCGGCUAACUCCGUGCCAGCAGCCGCGGUAAUACGGAGGAUGCAAGCGUUAUCCGGAUUUAUUGGGUUUAAAGGGUGCGCAGGCGGAUUAGUAAGUCAGUGGUGAAAGCUCCCGGCUCAACCGGGAAAAUGCCAUUGAUACUGUUAAUCUUGAGUACAGUUGAGGUUGGCGGAAUGUAUCAUGUAACGGUGAAAUGCAUAGAUAUGAUACAGAACACCGAUAGCGAAGGCAGCUUACCAAACUGUAACUGACGCUCAUGCACGAAAGCGUGGGGAGCAAACAGGAUUAGAUACCCUGGUAGUCCACGCUGUAAACUAUGAUCACUCGCUGUUGGCGAUACACUGUCAGCGGCUUAGCGAAAGUGUUAAGUGAUCCACCUGGGGAGUACGAUCGCAAGGUUGAAACUCAAAGGAAUUGACGGGGGCCCGCACAAGCGGAGGAGCAUGUGGUUUAAUUCGAUGAUACGCGAGGAACCUUACCUGGGCUUAAAUGCAGAACGACCUCCCGAGAAAUCGGGACUUCCUUCGGGACGGACUGCAAGGUGCUGCAUGGUUGUCGUCAGCUCGUGCCGUGAGGUGUCGGGUUAAGUCCCAUAUCGA
This 995-nucleotide ribosomal RNA is filed under the name uncultured organism. RNAcentral's name for it is "bacterial SSU rRNA". It matches the Rfam family "Bacterial small subunit ribosomal RNA", at positions 98 to 1095 of the family's 1533-position model. The record is from RNAcentral.